RNAcentral lists this ribosomal RNA (400 nucleotides) under uncultured bacterium. RNAcentral's name for it is "bacterial SSU rRNA". It matches the Rfam family "Bacterial small subunit ribosomal RNA", at positions 355 to 748 of the family's 1533-position model. The record is from RNAcentral.
UCGAGAAUCUUUCACAAUGGGGGAAACCCUGAUGGAGCGACGCCGCGUGGAGGCUAAGGUCUUCGGAUUGUAAACUCCUGUCAUGCGAGAGCAAUGUGCCUGUGUUAAUAGCAUGGGUAAGUGAUAGUAUCGCAAGAGGAAGAGACGGCUAACUCUGUGCCAGCAGCCGCGGUAAUACAGAGGUCUCAAGCGUUGUUCGGAAUCACUGGGCGUAAAGGGUGUGUAGGCUGCGAAUUAAGUCAGAUGUGAAAACUUUGGGCUCAACCCAAAGCAUGCAUCCGAUACUGGUUUGCUAGAGUAACUCAGAGGGACAUGGAAUUCACGGUGUAGCAGUGAAAUGCGUAGAUAUCGUGAAGAACACCAACGGCGAAGGCAAUGUCCUGGGGGUUUACUGACGCUG